Molecule: long non-coding RNA, 265 nt
Filed under: Lathyrus oleraceus (garden pea)
Lineage: Eukaryota; Viridiplantae; Streptophyta; Magnoliopsida; Fabales; Fabaceae
Description: Pisum sativum (pea) long non-coding RNA (PSAT_LNC029077)
Source: RNAcentral
UUGAUUAUCAGCAAAAAAAUUACUAAACUAAUCAUCAAAGUAAGUUUUUGCAUCAACAGAUAACAAACCACCAGAUGAUGAACUAGAUUCUCCAGCAUAACUAGCUUAUUUCUUCUUCUUAGGUUUCACAAACCUAUCUUCAUACACUUUCCUUAUGGAUUUCUCCAAAUAUAAGUAAACACCAUUUAAAUCAGGUUAAUACCUCAUCAUGGAGAUAAUCGGUUCUUUCAACAUUUUCGAAGCUUCCAACGAAUCAGCCUCCCCG